This 13557-nucleotide long non-coding RNA is filed under the name Homo sapiens (human). RNAcentral's name for it is "non-protein coding lnc-NXPH1-2:11". The record is from RNAcentral. Lineage: Eukaryota; Metazoa; Chordata; Mammalia; Primates; Hominidae.
AAACGGGCGCGCCAGGGUUUGCUGGAACCGGGGUUGCUUAGGGGUUCUCGCCCCGUCUAGUCCGAGACUGCUGAGCACCUCGCCCCCGGGGGACCAAGCUCAGGCCUCCUGGCACUAGUGGUUAUAAAGAGGUACCCAUAUGCUCUCUGCCGCCCCUGCCAAAAAAAGGGCCACGGAGGGGAAGAGAAAAAGCACACACCAGGCGCCGCGGCAGGUGAACUUGUCAACAAGUCAACCCUGGACGCAAGUCCCUGCCCACCAGGGAGCUCGGGGUCCUGGGGCCGGAGCCGCCGGGAAGGCGAGGCGCGCGGUGGGUGGGUGGGGUGGGCUGGCAUGGGUGCCGGUGCUCCCAGCGCUGGGGCCGGAGCGCGGAACGCUUCCCUACCGCUCCCCCGGGGCUGACGCACGCUCUCACGGCGCGCGCAUCCUCCAGACCUUCCCAGGCCGGAGGGAGGAGGGGAGGGGAAGGGGCUGAUGCGGUUCCCGCACCGGGAUCCGGGACCCGAGGAGGCGACUCGCCUAUCACGCGCCGCCCGCGGAGGGCAGAGAAGGCAGCUCCUACCAGGCGUCCCCGACCGUCCCGGCUGCCGGGCGUCUCCUGCUGCUUCCUGCAGCCCGCCCGGCGCGCCCCCGCCCCGACCCCGGAGGGCAGGUACCUCGGAGCCCCGGCCCCCAGGAGCCUCCCGGCCGCGGUCGGAGCGUCCCUCCGGAUCACUCAUCCGACGUCAGCGUCAGCCGAAGGCGAGGGAAAGGGGCGGGGGGAGCGCAGGAACCGGCCCUUCCUGCGGCGGCCGCCACCAGCCGGAAUAGCAACCGGCGGAGCCCGUGCGCACCGCAGCGCAGCGCAGCGGCCGGGGGGUGCGGGCGCCCUCGCCGCCCGGCUACCUACCGCCGCCUGGGCGCCGCCGCUGCCUCCCUUCCCCGCUUCUACCCUCCAGCAGACGCCCGCCGGAGCGACCCCUCCCAGGGUGACCGGGGGAAGGUGUUCCACGUGGCCAUAGCGUUUGCGUCACAAUGACCUGGCGGACAGGUGGGAGCCACAGCGUACACCCCAGGGUUCCCUCUGUGCUGUGCGUAGUGCCUACUGCUUGCUUCCAGGUUAAAUUUCUGUAGCUUUAGAGGACAGGAGACUUCAUGACUUCACUGCCAAGAAAAGUUACAGAGGCCUGCUGUACCUGGAAAUCAAGUUUGAGCUUCGAGAAUAAAGGUCAUGUUUUAAAAACAGCUGUGUAUGUAUAGAACACCAGUAAGGUGCUAGUGAGAACCCGAAACAGUUUCUAAGGAGAAUGGCUAUUGAAUGAUGGGAUCAGAAAUUAGGAGAGAAAUAAGGACCCUGGGCCAGGGAAAGAAAUGAAUGAAGAUGCCACCUUAUGCCCAGAACACAUCUCUCAUUCAAUGAUAAAGGAUUUGUGGUUGGGUCAACUUUUGUGAUGCUCAACUCUUUCCUUCGUAAGGACGGGCUCUUUCUCAGGAGGCUUUUGUACUCCCAAUUAACGCACUGCUAAUCUGAUGAAGCUCUAUUUUGUAGCUAUGCCAUCUGGAUCACAUAGCCUCCAAGGCCAGCAGAGCAGAGGAAGACAAAGAGCAGAGCAAGAUAGAGGUGGAAGUUACACGUCCUUUGUGCUUACUUUCUACUGGCCUCAUCGGGUCGCAAGAUCCCACUCUGAUAGGUGCAUGGGGGCUUGGAAAAUUAGAAAAACAUGUGAAUAUUUGCAAUGCUUUCAGUAACCUGGAGAGGUACACAUGGCUGGUAUAACAAUUAUCUUCAUUUAAUGAUGUGGAAACACCUACCACAAGUCCUGGCACAUUGAGGGUCUUGAAUAAAUUCUGUCAGAUGAACGGACAAGCGCACAAAAGGUUGAAAGAGUGAAUGAGGCAGGUUAAAUGACCAGUUCUAGAUUUGUUACUAAGUGACACAGCCUAACUGAGUUUUCUAAUGUUCCACUAACCCUGCUUCCAAGCAGCUUCAGAAUGCAGCUUACAUUUCUGCUAUAAAUAUUUUCUUUAGACUUUUGCUGAUGAAUUGAAGUUUCAUAACAAGAAGAAAGCAGAUGGCUUUUGGGAGGGGUUUAUACUUGCUCUUUUAACUGUGUUUCUGUUUUGCUUGUUUAUGCAGAGUGUGCACAAAGGUUGCCAGAGCCUUAAUUUCAAACUGCAUCAUUUAAUAAAAUACAAUAAGGAGAAUUAAGAAAGAAGGCUGCAGGGGAACAUCCUGCUUAUUAUCUCUGUAAUGAGAGGACUAUUUUUUCUCCCAUCAGUUGCCAAUGAUGAGGUUUUUUGUUUCCUUUUGUGCAGGCACAAUUGUGAUAUUCAACGAGAGUAGUGCGAAGUGCCACUUUACAGCCAAACAUUCAAUUCCUCCUAAUUCACAAGGGAGAGAGGGAUCAAGUUGUGCAGCUGGGAGGUGAUGUUUCUUCCCAGCAGCUGUCAUUGAGGAGACACGUGCAAACCAUAGAAGUCAUUUGUCACAAGAACCCCAUCCAGAAUUUGCUAUGUGCGUCUCACUUGCUAACGUGACAUGAAAUACUGAAGCUUUCAAAAAUCAAGUACAGAGACUUUGUUGUGUUGACAUGGGCAAAAUGAAAUGAAGAGCUGAGGCAAUUAUGUGGAUAAAUCAGGCCAAAAAUAUCCAACCAUUGAGAGGAAAAAGUUCCUUUGGCUCAAAUUAUUCAGAGUGACUGUCCAUGUUCAUCAAUUUAUCAGGAUAAUGAAUUUUAUCCUAUACUUUACUUUGUCACUAUAGAUAUAUCUUUAGUCUAUGAAUUUGAAUGACUUUGUGAUAUUUUACUUCACUGAAAAUUAUAAUAGGGGUUGAAUGAGCAAGCACCGUGUUAAAAGAUUGCUACUGCAGCUAUGAUAAUAGUCCAGGAGAUUUUAAACCCCGUUAUUCAAUAGCUAGCAGACAUAGUUAUUGGAAUGGGGGUAGAGAGGGAGACACGAAAUCUGUUGAGAAUCAAAUGCUUGUAACUAAUCUGUCUUUCCCAUUUAGCAUCCUAUUAUCCAAAAAUAUCUUGGUCUGUAGCUCCCACCUGGUUUCCUGGUCAUUUGACUACUGGUUAAAUGAGCCUGAAAAUUUCAUCAGGUUUCAUAUAAAGAAUAAUAUAUUAUAGUUACAUACAUAUAAAUGUAUAUCUUUGUGUAUUUUUAAUAUCCCUUAUUUAUCUACAAAGAGAUGAAUGUUUGAAAUAUGUGACGGAUAAGCAAGGUCAAUUCUUGUGUCUGCUCAUGCAUUGGCAUUGAGCUUUCUGCUUGGAGUCCUUAGCAUAUUCCGCACUUGAGCCAUCCUUCUUGUUUCUUCAUACUUCCAGAGCCACUAGAAUCACAGGCAAAAGGGCAGGAGCUUCUCCUUGGGGCAGAGGGAGAACCUCUGAGCAUUACCCUGGGUGGUUUGGUCCUGCCAGAGUCUCUUAAACAUUAGAGACAACUCACCAUUUGGAAGUUACAAAUCAUGAAAGUGCUCACUGAAGCAAAAUAAUACCACAUAAGAAAUAAAUGCCUAAUGUUGAUGAACAUUUUAAUCUUUAUUAUAAAAUUAUAACACAAAGAAGAAUCCUGAAGAAUGACCCUAAAGCUUUUGUCACAAUAGCAUUGUAAUGGAAAUACAGGUGUGUUUUCUUUUCUUUCUUUUUUCCUUUUUUGAGACAGGGUCUUGCUUUGUCACCCAGGGUGGUGUGCAGUGGAGCUAUCAUGGCUCACUGUAGCCUCGACCUCCUGGGCUCAAGCAAUCCUCCCACCUCAGCCUAUUGGGCAGCUGGGACUACAGGCAUGCAUAACCACAUCCAGCUAAUUUUUUGUAGAGAUGGGGUUUCUCCAUGUAUUGCCCAGGCUGGUCUCGAACUCCUUGGCUCAAGUGAUUCUCCCACCUUAGCCUCCCAAAGUGCUGGGAUUACAAGCAUGAGCCACCACACCUGGCCUAUGUGUGUUUUAUGAUUAAAAAAGAAAUACAUACAAUUAUUGGGACAGAACAAAAUAAAGAGAAAAAUACAAAUUACCUGUAAUUCAACUAUCCAGAGAUAAUUAUUUUUUACGGACUGAAUGAUGUUCUCCAAAAUUCAUAUGUUGAAGCCCUAGCCCCUAAUGUGAUUAAUAUGGUUUGGCUGUGUCCCCACCCAAAUCUCAUCUUGAAUUGUAACUCCCACAAUUCCCAUGUGUUGUGGGAAGAAACUAAUGGGAGGUAAUUGAAUCAUGGGGACGGGUCUUUCCCAUGCUGUUCUUAUGAUAGUGAAUAAGUCUCACGAGAUCUGAUGGCUUUAAAAAAUGGGAGUUUUCCUGUAUAAGCUCUCCCUCUCUUUGCCUGCUGCCAUCCAUGUAAGACAUGACUUUUUCCUCCUUGCCUUCCACCAUGAUUGUGAGGCCUCGCCAGCCAUGUGGAACUGUAAGUCCAUUAAAUGUCUUUCUUUUGUAAGUUGCCCAGUCUCAGGUAUGUCUUUAUCAGCAGUGUGAAAAUGAACUAAUACAGUAAAUUGGUACCAGUAGAGUGGGUUGCUGCUGUAAAUACCCGAAAAUGUGAAAACGACUUUGGAACUGGGUAACAGGCAGGGGUUGGAACAGUUUGGAGGGCUCAGAAGAAGACAGGAAAACGUGGGACAGUUUGGAACUUCCUAGAGACUUGUUGAAUGACUUUGCCCAAAAUGCUGAUAGUGAUAUAGACAAUGAAGUCCAGCCUGAGGUGGCUUCAGAUGGAGAUGAGGAACUUCUUGGGAACUGGAGCAAAGGUGACUCUUGUUAUGUUUAGCAGCAUUUUGCCCCUGGGCAUUUUGCCCCCAUCCUAGAGCUUUGUGGAACUUUGAACUCGAGAGAGAUAAUUUUGGGUAUCUGGCAGAAGAAAUUUCUAAGCAGCAAAGCAUUCCAGAGGUGACCUGGUUCACCACUUGGGUGCUGUUAAAGGCAUUCAGUUUCAAAAGGGAAAUGGAGAAUAAAAGUUCAGAAAACUUGCAGCCUGACAAUGUGAUAGAAAAGAAAAUCCCAUUUUCUGAGGAGAAAUUCAAGCUGGCUGCAGAAAUUUGCAUAAGUAAUGAGGAGCCAAAUGUUAAUCCCCAAGACAAUGGGGAAAAUGUCUCAAGGGCAUGUCAGAGGUCUUCACAGCAGCCCCUCUCAUCACAGGCCCAGAGGCCAAGGAGGAAAAAGUGGUUUUGUGGGCUGGGCCCAGGGUGCCUCGCUGUGUGCAGUCUAGGGACUUGGUGUCCUGCAUCCCAGCUGCUCCAGCCAUGACUAAAGGGGCCAAGGUACAGCUCAGAUUGUUGCUUCAGAGGGUACAAGCCCCCAGCCUUGGCAUCUUCCAUGUGGUGUUGAGCCUGUGUGUGCACAGAAGUCAAGAAUUGAAGUUUGGGAACCUCUGCCUAGAUUUCAGAGGAUGUAUGGAAAUGCCUGGAUGCCCAGGCAGAAGUUUGCUGCAGGGGCAGGGCUCUCAUGGAGAACCCCUAUGAGGGCAAUGCAAAAGGGAAAUGUGGGGUUGGAGUCCCCACACAGAUCUCUACUGAGACACCACCUAGUGGAGCUGUGAGAAGAGGGUCAUCACUAUCCUCCAGAACCCAGAAUGCUAGAUCCACCAACAGCUUACACUGUUUGCCUGAAAAAGCCACAGACACUCAAUGCCAGCCUGUUAAAGCAGCUGGGAGGGAGUCUGUACCCUUCAAAGCCUGGAUGUGAGACAUCGAGUUAAAGGAGAUCAUUUGGAGCUUUAAGAUUUGACUACCCCACAGGAUUUCAGACUUGCAUGGGGCUUGUAGCCCCUUUGUUUUAGCCAAUUUCUCUCAUUUGGAAUGGCUGUAUUUACCCAAUGCCUGAACCCCCACUGUAUCUAGGAAGUAACUAAUUUGCUUUUGAUUUUAUAGGCUCAUAGGCUGAAGGGACUUGCUUUGUCUGAGACUGUGGACUUUUGAGUUAAUGCUGAAAUGAGUUAUGACUUUGGAGGAAUAUUAGAAAGGCGUGAUUGGAUUUGAAAUGUGAGGACAUGAGAUUUGGAAGGGGCCAGGGGUGGAAUGAUAUGGUUUGGCUGUGUCCCCACCCAAAUCUCAUCUCUAAUUGUAACUUCCACAAUUCCCAUGUAUGAUGAGAGGAAACAGUGGGAGGUAAUUGAAUCACAGGGACGGGUCUUUCCCAUAUUGUUCUUGUGAUAGUGAAUAAGUCUCAUGAGCUCUGAAGGCUUUACAAAUGAGAGUUUCCCUUCACAAGCCCUCUCUCUCCCUCUCUUUGCCUGCUGCCAUCCAUGUAAGACAUGAUUUGUUCCUCCUUGUCUUCCACCAUGAUUGUGAGGCUCCCCAGCCAUGUGGAAGUGUAAGUCCAAUUAAACCUCUUUCUUUUGUAAAUUGCCCAGUCUUGGGUAUGUCUUUAUCAGCAGCAUGAAAACGGACUAAUACAGUGAUAGUAUUUGAAAAGGGGCCUUUGGGAGGUAAACAAGGUUAAACAAGGUCAUGAGGACCCUAAUCCAAUAGGAUUUGUGCCCUUAUGAAAACAGGGAGAGACAAACCAGAGCUCAUUGGCUAUCUCUUCCAUGUUGGGACACACAAAGAAGAUGGCCAUCUCCAAGACAGAAAUGUGAUCAUGCUGGCACCUUGACCCUGAACUUCUAGCCUUUGGAACUGUGAAAAUAAAUUUGUUUUUUACGCCACCCAGUCUAUGGUAUUUUGUUAUGGUAGUCCAAGCUGACUAACACACCACUGUUAAUAUUUUUACAUCCUUUUAUAUUUUAAUAUUAUUCUAUACUAAAAUAUAUAUCUAUCCAUCAACCCAUCCAUCCUUACGUACCUAUAAAGAUGGUGCUAUACGCAAUGGUUUACAUCAGCACUGUAUGAUAGACAUAUAUUGUGAAUCACAUACAUUAAUCACAUACAUUUAAAAUUUUUUUAGUGGCCUCUUUGGAAACAGAAAAAAUGAAAAUAUGAAAUUAAUUUUAGUAAUAUUUUAAAUUUAACCCAACAUAGCCAGAAAAUUGUCAUUUCAACAUGUAAUUAUUUAAAAAUUAUUCUUCAGGCCAGGCAUGGCGGCUCACUCCUGUAAUCACACUUUGGGAGGCCAAGGUGGGAGAACUGCUUGAGGCCAGGAGUUCAAGAUCAGCCUGGGCAACAUAGCAAGACCUUGUGUCUACUAAAAAUAAAAAAAAAUUAGCUGGGCAUGAUGGUGCAUGCCUGUAGUCUCAGCUACUCAGGAGGCUGAAGUGGGAGGAUAACUUGAGCCCAGGAAUUUGAGGCUGCAAUCCUGGUUGUGCCACUGUACUCCAGGCUGAGCAGCAGAGCAAGAUUCCGUCUCUGAAACAAAAAGUUAUUCUUGAGAUAAGUAACUUCUUUUCAAAAUUCUAAGUCUUUAAAAUAUCGUGUAUAUUUUACACAUACAGUACAUUUCAAUUUUGACUGACCACAUUUCAAGUGCUAUUACCACCAUAUUGGAAAGAGCAGUUUUAGAUCGAGGGCUUUCAGUCCUGGGCUGGAGUUGGGCUUCUCUACCUUAUUUGACAAAUGGCGUUAGACAAUUUAUUUAACUUUUUUUUUUUUUUUGAGAUGGAGUCUCACUCUGUCACCCAGGCUAGAGUGCAAUGGUGUGAUCUCAGCUCACUGCAACUUCUGCAUCCUGGGUUCAAGUGAUUCUCCUGCCUCAGCCUUCUGAGUAGCUGGGAUUACAGGUGCCCACAACUACACCCAGCUAAUUUUUGUAUUUUUAGUAGAGACAGGGUUUCACCAUGUUGGUCAGGCUGGUUGCAAACUCCUGAUCUCGUGAUCUGCCUGCCUUGGCCUCCCAAAGUGCUGGGAUUACAGGCAUGAGCCACUGUGCCCGGCGUAUUUACCUUUUUAAAUCCUGGGCUUCUUGUAUUUAAAAUGAAGGUAAUAGAAGCAUCUACUUCAAAGUGUUGUCAUGAUGCCUGAAUAAUCCAAUAUGUAAAGUAUGUAUACUUCAUGGUGGAGAGCACUCAAUAAAUGUUGGCUAAAAUUAUUUUUGUGGUUAUAAAAUGAAUAUUUAUUUUACAAUAAGUGCUAAUUUGAAUUUGAAAUCAUUUCCAACUUAAUAAUAUUUUUCCAUAAAGUCUAAAUUUAUAGACAUGCCAAAAAGUGAAAUGUGUUACCAUCAAAGGUUGUAUCUUCUCAUUGUAGUGUGUGUGUAUUUCCACUCCUGCUUUAGGAGAAGUAUGCUGGUGAGAACAUGCUAUCACAAAAAUCUUCCAGGACUGACAUGUGCCUUUAUUGAACUGAACCCCAAGGUCUGAUGGGCUGCAUUAUGUUGAGCAUUCAGGUUUGGAGGAAGACACCAGCCCUUGAGAUUUACCAUUUUGGUAGUGACAGAGACCACCAGGAGCUUCCAGCUGCCCUGUCUUGCUGUAAUGGCACUCACUCCAUGCACUUGUCCUCAAUGUGGGUGGUAUCAUCUGAAAGGACAUUUUGGAAAUUUGUGGGUACAUUUCUCAUUACUGCAAUGAUUAUCUGUGCUGCUAGAUUUUGUGGAUAAGGGCCAGGGAUGUCAUAUACAAGACAGACCUAAGCAAGAGAGAAUCAUCCUACUGCUGUACAAAUUGCAGUAGCAUUCCAGAUAUUCCAUCGACUAAGACCUAACUCCAUCUUUCAUGGAAUGCUAUUGUGCUUCCAUUGUUUCAAUAUUCUUCAAAUUUUCCUGUAGUGGAACUCCCAUGCAAAUUGGGGUUUGGUCUUACUUUGUUUGGAAUUUUUCAAGAGUUUCACACCACUUAGCAAAAUCACAUCUUUGAAGGUAAUGGCACUUGUGGCACUUGGGUUGCCAACACAACACACAUGCAUUGGUCUACACUGGCAGCUGUAGCAUUCAUAGGAUACUAUGUACCCUGUACCCAGGCUGGAGUACAGUGAAUGGAACAAGCAUCUGAGUAAUUCAUUAUGACUUCUAAUGCAAUCAUGCCUAAGUAUUUCCUUCUAUUUCUUUUGUUUUUUUCUUCAUAUUACUGUUAGGCCAUUCUAUUGUCCUUUAAAAACUUAGGUUUGUAUGUUAUUAUCUAUGAAUUUUAUUUCAGGAAAGUAAAGCAGGCUGUAUAAAAUGUCUGAAGGAGGCUGGGCACAGUGGCUCACGCCUGUAAUCCCAGCACUUUGGGAGGUUGAGGUGGGCAGAUCACAAGGUCAGGAAUUUGAGAACCAGCCUGGCCAAUGUAGUGAAACCCCGGGCAUGGUGGUGUACACCUGUAAUCCCAGCUACUUGGGAGGCUGAGGCAGGAGAAUCAAUUGAACCCGGGAGGCAGAAGUUGCAGUGAGCCGAGAUCAUGCCUGGGCCACAGGGGGAGACUCCAUCUAAAAAAAAAAAAAAAAAAUCUGAAUCCUGGGUCUGACUGGCUUAAGAUUCACCACUUUAUUGGCCCCUAAAUUAAGAAGCCAGGGAGGGAAUUCUGUCAGCUGAUGAGCCAGCAAUGCCAUAUCCAAGAAAAGGGGAAAUAAUCUCUAAUUGUGAGAUUCCACCCAGACUACAAUAAAAUGUUCUUGGUUCAGAAUUGAUCAAUAUUCAUCAGCAGACUUGCAUAUGACCCUCUCUCACAGGUGAAACACCUGUGGUGCUUAGGGUGACCAAGUUUUAAAGUUAGCUUCAGCAAGUGACUAAGAGUCCCCAGUGCCACAGAUUCUCUUUGAAGUUUAGGGAAAAGAUUCACAGUAAAUGCUUGUGUGUUGCAAAGCCCUCCUCAAGGACCUGCAGAUUCUUCCUCAGCUAAGGAGCUCUGUAUCUGUGAGAUAUGUGAUUGUUAGGCCUCUAUUCACCAGCCUGGAGACUUAGUUACAGCAUCAAGAUGCACUUUGGUAGUCUACUCAUUUAUUUUGGUGCUAUGGACCUCAUGGUCAAUUAUCCUCUGUGGAAAAGCCCACUUAAGUCAGCCACUGCAAUUUUCACCCUGGCCCUUCUUUUUGUUGUGGUAGGUAUUACCGUUUUCUGUUGGCAUUUCAUCAGGGCUCCUGAGUCUCCGCCAUCUCAGGAUCCUGCUAUCACCAAGGAAAUAUAAGAGCUCAUUUCACUGCAGUGUCUCCUACCAGUGUCCUGGCAUUAGGAAAGAACCACUUAAGUGCUUUUCAGAGAUGCUAGCAGUCUUCUUGCCAGUGUAUUUCCCAAGGCUAUGGUGAACAAAGUGUCACGUGCCCUUGAAGGACAAGUUAGAGGAUGGGUGAAGAUGAAUAUGACUCAUCCAUUUUGGUAUUCUUAUAUUAUUAGUUCUCUAUAUAUCUUCUUGUUUAUUAUACCAAGAUUAAAAUUUUAUUAAAAAUUAUUUUAUAGAGACAGAGUUUUGCUUUGUCACCCAGGUUGGAGUACAGUGAUUUUAUGACAGCUCAUGGCAGCCUCAAUUCCGUGGGCUCUAGCUAUCUUCCUACCUCAGUCUCUGGUGAAUUUUUAAUUUUGUUGUAGAGACGGGGUCUUGCUAUGAUGCCCACACUGAUCUCGAACUCAUGGGCUCAAGCAAUUCUCCUGCCUCAACAUCCAAAAGUGCUGGGAUUACAGGUGUGAACCACUGCACCCAAUCAAGGCUGUUUUUCUUUUUCUGGCAUGCCAACUUCAUUUAGUAUUAUCUACUGUCAUGUCUAGGUUUCAGGAAAAUCAUCCUAAUGUCAAUCAAAACCACUUGUAGCUGCUUGAAUUAGUUGAUCAAAUACAUAAUCUUUGGUGAAUGUACUUGUGCUGAAUACAUUUGUUUGAGCACCUUGAGAAUUCAUUUCCACACAUAUUCCCAGAUUUUUCUGACAUGAAAUUGUAGAGCCCAGAAAUUCUUUUGGUAUAUAAGACUUCUCAAGUGUUUGACUUUCAAAUUGUAUUCCCAAGACAUUCUGGGAUCUGACUACAUAGUUUUAAGACUAGUAGUAGAGAGAAAUGAAGGAUAAAGAGAGAAUUGGCUUUUCCUUGCAAAGCAAGUUCUUCAUAUGAUAUUACUAGGGGGUCUUCAAGUACAGUAGAGAUAACUUCAUCAGACAGGGAUGGAAGAGCUGAACCUUCUGUGGCAGUUGAAGGUUCAAGGCAUUUAAAGUUCUCCAAAUCUUCCCACAUAUAGUGUAUUCAUCAGCUUGGUCUACCAUAACAAAAUACCAUAGACUGGGUGGCUUGAACCAUAAGAAUGUAUUUAUUAUAGUUCUGAAGGCUGGGAAGUCCAAGAUCAAAGUUUUAGCUGAUCUGGUUCCCUGGUGAGGGCUUUCUUUCUGAUUUGUGGAUGGCUGCUGAUACGACUUGGUUGUUUUGUCCUCUCCAUAUCUCAUGUUGAAAUGUGAUCCCCACUGUUGGAGAUGGGACUUGGUGGGUGGAGUCAUGUUAGAGUCACGGGGAGUAGAUCUCUCAUGAAUGACUUUGUUCCAACCUUGUGGUAAUGAGUAAGUUCCCGCUCUACAAGUUCAUUCGAGAUCUGGUUGUUAAAGAAGCUUGGCAUCUCCUCCCUCUCUGUCACAUGUAGCAUGCUGGCUCCCCUUCCCCUUCUUCCAUGAUUGUAAGCUUCCUGAGACUCUCACCAGAAGCAGAUGCCAGUAAUAUGCUUUGUGUACAGCCUGUAGAACCACGAACCAACUAAACCUCUUUUCUUUAUAGGUUACCCAGUUUCAUAUAUUCCUUUAUAGCAAUGCAAACAGACUAACACAGCAACACAGCUGCCUUCCUCCUGUGGCCUCACAUGGCAGAUAGAGAGAGAGAAAGAGAGAGUGAGAGAGAGAGUGAGAGAGAGAGAGAGAGAGAAGGAGAUAGAGGGAAUGAGGUGGGGAAGCAAACUCUCUGGUGUCUCUUCUUAUAGGGGCACUAAUCCCAUCAUAAUGUUCCUACCCUCAUCUAAAACUAAUUACUUUCCAAAGGCCCUAUCUCUAAAUACCAUUAUAUUGAGGGUUUGGGCUUCCAUAUAUUUGAAUUUUAGGGGGAUACAGGUCAGUCCAUAGUACUAUAUAUCCUCAGUACAAUUCUCAGAGUUUGAUUACUUUCCAAUUCACAUGCUAAUUUUCACAUAUGAUGCAUGGUAAACAUAUGAAUUCGGAUAAUAUGAUUCAGUAACUUACAGGAUAAAUAUCCUCAAUUAUUGUUAAUUUCCAACCACCCCCUGGCUCUUUGUGUCACUCCCUCAAUAUUCAAAAUCCAUUGAGUAUCUGAUUGGAUAAGCCUAGGUUGCUGACACACAUCCUGGUUGUCUUCCACCAUGGGAGGUAAAGCCCUGAAUUCUUCACCUCUUGGGGCUUUCCCUAAAUCAGCUCAGGUUUGGGUAGACAAAAUGAAAUAAAAUAAAAUAAAUAAAACACAACAACCCACAAACCCAACUAUUUAUUAUAAAGAUGUUUAGAUAUUUUUCUUCAUUUUCAUGCUAUUUUAAAUGACAGUCUGGUAAAUAGCAAGGUUUUUGGUUAUUUUCAGGAUAGAUUCUCAGAAGCAAAGUUUUUGAGUCAAAGGUCUUAUAAAAAUUUUAAGACUUAUGAUAUAUACUGUCAAGUGACUUUUAAAAAUUUUUGUACCAAUUUUGUUCUCACUCCAGCCAUAUUGGACUGAUCCCAUUUCAUUGCGCCCACACUCCCACUGACCAAGACAUUUUCUUUUCUGUCAACAGUCCAUCAUUCUUUCUUGAAAACAUUACUGUCUUAUCUUUUAAUGCAACUUAGCAUUUCCCCACUGCUUUCUUGAUUUCUUCUGUAGCCCCUUAAGAAUACAUGGAGUGAGAAGGACACAAUGUCAUUUCUUUGGGAUUCUUGCCCCAAAUAUACAACCCUUAAGCUGAUUAUGAGAGAAUGUCAAACUCACUUGGAUAUUCCACAAAAAACCUGGCCUUCAAAAGUGUCAAGGUCAUAAAGACAAAGAAAGACUCAGAAGUUGUCCCUGACUAGGAGAGACUAAGGAGAUAAGAUUACUAAAUGCAAAGUGAGAUCCUGAACUGGGUCCUGGACCAGAAAAGGGCUAUUCAUGGAAAAACUAGUGAAAUUUGAAUAAUCUUUGUAUAUUAGUUAAUGAUAUAAUCUCUAUGUUUAUUUCCUGGUUUUGAUAAUUUCACUAUGGUUAUAUAAGAUGUUAACAUUAAGAGAAGCUGGGUGAAGGGUGUAUGAUAGUACCUUUCUGUACCUGUAUCAUGACUUUUCUGUAAGUCCAAACUUAUUUCAAAAUAAAGUUAAAAAACACUCCUGGUUUGUGAUGCUUAUAUCUUGUGUUUUGUCUGUAAAUAGUAAAAAAUAAGCAGCAAAAGUUAGUGUAGGGAUCCUGGUCUUAUUUCUUCUCUCCCCUAUUUUUACUUUCCAGUGUCUCCUUAUCUUAUGAAUAAUGGUAAAGAGGUGUCAUAAAUGUGGCAAAUCCCCCAUACCUCAUCCAAGGCAGACAUAGCUAACGGAUCCAGAGUCUUUUUCCAGUUGAGCUCAUUUUCUGCCAUCAUGGCUUGGUUGGAAUUGUCAUGCUAGUUAAGAUGUACUUAUUGUCUCUGCAUGAUGGGAUGCCUUACUGUUCUGUAAUUCUUAAUUGAUUUCUGAAAUUUGAUUUGAAACCAUGUAUUUGCACCACUUUACAUUUUAAUACAUGCUUCAUUUUUUCUAAAGUUUUCUUUAAAUAAUUUAAGUAUGCUUCUUCCAUUUGUUUCAUAACCAUGUACUCUGAGCUCUUUAAGCUGUGCUUGACAUUUUGUUAUUUCAG